RNAcentral lists this microRNA precursor (205 nucleotides) under Oryza glumipatula. RNAcentral describes it as "MIR812 microRNA precursor family". It matches the Rfam family "MIR812 microRNA precursor family". The record is from Rfam by way of RNAcentral. Lineage: Eukaryota; Viridiplantae; Streptophyta; Magnoliopsida; Poales; Poaceae.
AAUAAGUGCAGCUAUGGUUUUUCGCGCCCAACUUUGACCGUUCGUCUUAUUUAAAAAAAUUUAAAAAAAAUUUAAAAACAUAAGUCACGAGUAAAGUACUAUUCAUAUUUUAUCAUCUCAUAACAACAAAAAUACUAAUUAUAAAAAAAUUUCAAAUAAGACGGACGAUCAAAGUUGGGCACGGAAACUCAUGGCUGCACUUAUU